CCUACGGGUGGCAGCAGUGAGGAAUAUUGGUCAAUGGGCGAGAGCCUGAACCAGCCAAGUCGCGUGAGGGAGUACUGCCCUAUGGGUUGUAAACCUCUUUUGUCGGGGAGCAAAAGCCGGACGUGUCCGGCUGUGAGCGUACCCGAAGAAAAAGCAUCGGCAAACUCCGUUCCAGCAGCCGCGGUCAUACGGGGGAUGCGAGCGGUAUCCGGGUUUUUUGGGUGAAAGGGGUGCGCAGGGGGAUUGUUAGGUCAGCGGUAAAAUCGUGGGGCUUAACCCCAUCCAGCCGUUGAAACUGGGGAUCUAGAGUGUGCGAGAGGUAUGCGGAAUGCGUGGUGUAGCGGUGAAAUGCAUAGAUAUCACGCAGAACCCCGAUUGCGAAGGCAGCAUACCGGUGCACAACUGACGCUCAGGCACGAAAGCGUGGGUAUCGAACAGGAUUAGAUACCCUGGUAGUC
This 458-nucleotide ribosomal RNA is filed under the name uncultured bacterium. Its description in RNAcentral is "partial 16S ribosomal RNA". It matches the Rfam family "Bacterial small subunit ribosomal RNA", at positions 338 to 795 of the family's 1533-position model. The record is from RNAcentral.